This 468-nucleotide ribosomal RNA is filed under the name uncultured bacterium. Its description in RNAcentral is "partial 16S ribosomal RNA". It matches the Rfam family "Bacterial small subunit ribosomal RNA", at positions 28 to 507 of the family's 1533-position model. The record is from RNAcentral.
GACGAACGCUGGCGGCGUGCUUAACACAUGCAAGUCGAACGGAAAGGCCCUGCUUUUGUGGGGUGCUCGAGUGGCGAACGGGUGAGUAACACGUGAGUAACCUGCCCUUGACUUUGGGAUAACUUCAGGAGACUGGGGCUAAUACCGGAUAGGAGCUCCUGCUGCAUGGUGGGGGUUGGAACGUUUCGGCGGUUGGGGAUGGACUCGCGGCUUAUCAGCUUGUUGGUGGGGUAGUGGCUUACCAAGGCUUUGACGGGUAGCCGGCCUGAGAGGGGGACCGGCCACAUUGGGACUGAGAUACGGCCCAGACUCCUACGGGAGGCAGCAGUGGGGAAUAAUGCACAAUGGGCGGAAGCCUGAUGCAGCAACGCCGCGUGCGGGAUGACGGCCUUCGGGUUGUAAACCGCUUUCGCCUGUGACGAAGCGUGAGUGACGGUAAUGGGUAAAGAAGCACCGGCUAACUACGUG